RNAcentral lists this ribosomal RNA (1414 nucleotides) under Lactiplantibacillus pentosus. RNAcentral's name for it is "bacterial SSU rRNA". It matches the Rfam family "Bacterial small subunit ribosomal RNA". The record is from RNAcentral. Lineage: Bacteria; Bacillati; Bacillota; Bacilli; Lactobacillales; Lactobacillaceae.
CAGUCGAACGAACUCUGGUAUUGAUUGGUGCUUGCAUCAUGAUUUACAUUUGAGUGAGUGGCGAACUGGUGAGUAACACGUGGGAAACCUGCCCAGAAGCGGGGGAUAACACCUGGAAACAGAUGCUAAUACCGCAUAACAACUUGGACCGCAUGGUCCGAGUUUGAAAGAUGGCUUCGGCUAUCACUUUUGGAUGGUCCCGCGGCGUAUUAGCUAGAUGGUGAGGUAACGGCUCACCAUGGCAAUGAUACGUAGCCGACCUGAGAGGGUAAUCGGCCACAUUGGGACUGAGACACGGCCCAAACUCCUACGGGAGGCAGCAGUAGGGAAUCUUCCACAAUGGACGAAAGUCUGAUGGAGCAACGCCGCGUGAGUGAAGAAGGGUUUCGGCUCGUAAAACUCUGUUGUUAAAGAAGAACAUAUCUGAGAGUAACUGUUCAGGUAUUGACGGUAUUUAACCAGAAAGCCACGGCUAACUACGUGCCAGCAGCCGCGGUAAUACGUAGGUGGCAAGCGUUGUCCGGAUUUAUUGGGCGUAAAGCGAGCGCAGGCGGUUUUUUAAGUCUGAUGUGAAAGCCUUCGGCUCAACCGAAGAAGUGCAUCGGAAACUGGGAAACUUGAGUGCAGAAGAGGACAGUGGAACUCCAUGUGUAGCGGUGAAAUGCGUAGAUAUAUGGAAGAACACCAGUGGCGAAGGCGGCUGUCUGGUCUGUAACUGACGCUGAGGCUCGAAAGUAUGGGUAGCAAACAGGAUUAGAUACCCUGGUAGUCCAUACCGUAAACGAUGAAUGCUAAGUGUUGGAGGGUUUCCGCCCUUCAGUGCUGCAGCUAACGCAUUAAGCAUUCCGCCUGGGGAGUACGGCCGCAAGGCUGAAACUCAAAGGAAUUGACGGGGGCCCGCACAAGCGGUGGAGCAUGUGGUUUAAUUCGAAGCUACGCGAAGAACCUUACCAGGUCUUGACAUACUAUGCAAAUCUAAGAGAUUAGACGUUCCCUUCGGGGACAUGGAUACAGGUGGUGCAUGGUUGUCGUCAGCUCGUGUCGUGAGAUGUUGGGUUAAGUCCCGCAACGAGCGCAACCCUUAUUAUCAGUUGCCAGCAUUAAGUUGGGCACUCUGGUGAGACUGCCGGUGACAAACCGGAGGAAGGUGGGGAUGACGUCAAAUCAUCAUGCCCCUUAUGACCUGGGCUACACACGUGCUACAAUGGAUGGUACAACGAGUUGCGAACUCGCGAGAGUAAGCUAAUCUCUUAAAGCCAUUCUCAGUUCGGAUUGUAGGCUGCAACUCGCCUACAUGAAGUCGGAAUCGCUAGUAAUCGCGGAUCAGCAUGCCGCGGUGAAUACGUUCCCGGGCCUUGUACACACCGCCCGUCACACCAUGAGAGUUUGUAACACCCAAAGUCGGUGGGGUAAC